This 28-nucleotide non-coding RNA is filed under the name Mus musculus (house mouse). The record is from RNAcentral. Lineage: Eukaryota; Metazoa; Chordata; Mammalia; Rodentia; Muridae.
UGGUGCAGAGGAUUUCUACAUGGCCGGU